This 501-nucleotide ribosomal RNA is filed under the name uncultured bacterium. Its description in RNAcentral is "partial 16S ribosomal RNA". It matches the Rfam family "Bacterial small subunit ribosomal RNA", at positions 29 to 523 of the family's 1533-position model. The record is from RNAcentral.
AAUGAACGCUGGCGGCAGGCUUAACACAUGCAAGUCGAGCGGAGAGAGGUAGCUUGCUACUGAUCUUAGCGGCGGACGGGUGAGUAAUGCUUAGGAAUCUGCCUAUUAGUGGGGGACAACACUUCGAAAGGAAUGCUAAUACCGCAUACGUCCUACGGGAGAAAGCAGGGGAUCUUCGGACCUUGCGCUAAUAGAUGAGCCUAAGUCGGAUUAGCUAGUUGGUGGGGUAAAGGCCUACCAAGGCGACGAUCUGUAGCGGGUCUGAGAGGAUGAUCCGCCACACUGGGACUGAGACACGGCCCAGACUCCUACGGGAGGCAGCAGUGGGGAAUAUUGGACAAUGGGCGGAAGCCUGAUCCAGCCAUGCCGCGUGUGUGAAGAAGGCCUUAUGGUUGUAAAGCACUUUAAGCGAGGAGGAGGCUACUUUAGUUAAUACCUAGAGAUAGUGGACGUUACUCGCAGAAUAAGCACCGGCUAACUCUGUGCCAGCAGCCGCCGUAA